Molecule: long non-coding RNA, 509 nt
Filed under: Phasianus colchicus (ring-necked pheasant)
Lineage: Eukaryota; Metazoa; Chordata; Aves; Galliformes; Phasianidae
Description: lncRNA (ENSPCLG00000010867.1)
Source: RNAcentral
AGGGAUCAUCCUGCUUCAGGGGUGGUAGGUUUGGAGAAUUCCAAGGGUCCACUCCCAGCAGCACUGUUGUCAUUCUUCUAGUUCAGUUUCUUGAAGAAUUUUUUCCUAUGGAACUUCCCUCUAUGGAAAGGAUGCUAAACUGUAGUAUCAAAAGCAAUGUUCCCUCAGCAGCGACCAGUAGAAAUCUGUAAGGAAAGUGGACAAGAGCAGGAUGAGUAAAAAAUGAAGCCAGUCAAUGAAGCAACGAGAUGCAGCAUAGCAGGUGGAACCUGGGACACUGGAACCUCCAUUAAUGCAGUAAAUUCAGGAGGUUUCAGUCACUCCAAAGAUGUCUUCCUCCUUCAGCCCCUGGAUUUCUGUCACCAUACAACAUCGUGGUAGACCACCAACUGAAAAAUUGCAGCUCAUAGAUUAAGAUCUGGCAGAAUUCUACCAUCCACCUCAGGAAUACAGUGCUCUACACUACACAGUGUGCAGCAAACCAUGUUUUUAUUUUAAAUAUAAUUUUC